AGCACACUCUUGUACUUUCCAUUGCUUAAAAUCUCAAGCUGGUCACCAAUAUGGAUGACUAGGGCAUUUGGGAUAUACUUAACACCAUACCAUUUUCCAUCUCUAGAGGCCUGGAGGCCCUGCACAUCGUUGGGUACAAGAAUGGUGAGAGAGGACAUGUCAGUAUGAGCCACCACCCCAAGAGCCAAAUCUGGUCGUGGACAAGGUGGAUAGUAGUUUAUUUUCAGAAGGUAUUGCAAGUUCUCUCCGCCCAUAGCCUCCUUUAGUUCAUGCUCUUUAAGCCCUAACCCUAACGACAAGGUCUUCAAUAGUUUAUCUGCCACUCUAUUCAGGUGUUUUGCAUAGUCCUUGUUGGCCUCCCUGUAAGAAGGUGGAUUUUUAGGCCAAAACUGGUAGUUGAUUGAAGAAGGAGGCCAUAUCUUAUGGAACAAAU
This 433-nucleotide unclassified non-coding RNA is filed under the name Hevea brasiliensis (rubber tree). Lineage: Eukaryota; Viridiplantae; Streptophyta; Magnoliopsida; Malpighiales; Euphorbiaceae. The record is from RNAcentral.